UGCCGGGUCUGCUAAAGGUAGGCAACCGCUCUCUGAAAGCGGGAAUCUUGGUUCGAUUCCAAGCCCGGCAG
This 71-nucleotide transfer RNA is filed under the name Candidatus Nomurabacteria bacterium. RNAcentral describes it as "tRNA-Gln". It matches the Rfam family "tRNA". From Rfam's summary of the family: Transfer RNA (tRNA) molecules are approximately 80 nucleotides in length. Their secondary structure includes four short double-helical elements and three loops (D, anti-codon, and T loops). The record is from RNAcentral. Lineage: Bacteria; Candidatus Nomuraibacteriota.